AGCAGCCGCGGUAAUUCCAGCUCCAAUAGCGUAUAUUAAAGUUGUUGCAGUUAAAAGCUCGUAGUUGAAUUUCGGGAUCAUCAGGUUGGUCGUGCCUCUGGUAUGUACUGAUUUCGAUGGUCCCUCCUUCUUGAAGAGCCGUAAUGCCAUUAAUUUGGUGUUGCGGGGAAUCAGGACUGUUACUUUGAAAAAUUGAGUGUUUAAAGCAGGCAAUCGCUUGAAUACAUUAGCAUGGAAUAAUGAAAUAGGACGUUCGAUCCUAUUUUG
Molecule: unclassified non-coding RNA, 267 nt
Filed under: uncultured Glomus
Lineage: Eukaryota; Fungi; Glomeromycota; Glomeromycetes; Glomerales; Glomeraceae
Description: sequence contains 18S rRNA gene
Rfam family: Eukaryotic small subunit ribosomal RNA
Source: RNAcentral